RNAcentral lists this ribosomal RNA (475 nucleotides) under uncultured bacterium. RNAcentral's name for it is "bacterial SSU rRNA". It matches the Rfam family "Bacterial small subunit ribosomal RNA", at positions 17 to 518 of the family's 1533-position model. The record is from RNAcentral.
UCCUGGCUUAGGACGAACGCUGGCGGCGUGCCUAACACAUGCAAGUCGAGCGAGGAACUCGGUUCCUAGCGGCGGACGGGUGAGUAACACGUGGGUAACCUGCCUCAUAGAGGGGGAUAGCCUCCCGAAAGGGAGAUUAAUACCGCAUAUACUCUCGAUAUCACAUGAUAUUUAGAGGAAAGGAGCAAUCCGCUAUGAGAUGGACCCGCGGCGCAUUAGCUAGUUGGUGAGGUAACGGCUCACCAAGGCGACGAUGCGUAGCCGACCUGAGAGGGUGAUCGGCCACAUUGGAACUGAGACACGGUCCAGACUCCUACGGGAGGCAGCAGUGGGGAAUAUUGCACAAUGGGCGAAAGCCUGAUGCAGCAACGCCGCGUGAGUGAUGAAGGCCUUCGGGUUGUAAAGCUCUGUCUUUUGGGACGAUAAUGACGGUACCAAAGGAGGAAGCCACGGCUAACUACGUGCCAGCCGCCGC